UUGUGCAUUUGCAUAUAAAAUUAAAGGUAAAUUCUGUGAAUUAAGGUAUUAUUUUUCUAAAGCUAUCCUCUGUGCUAGUCUUUGGGGACUUUGGUCUAUGGCUCAAUCGCUGUACUACCUUCUGAUGUUUUAUCGUUGUCCAGAGAAUAACAGAUCUGUGUGAAGCACACAGCAGAAUCUGAUUCUCACAAUGUUUUCUUUUAUAUAAUUGCAGAUAACAGCUUGGAGCGAAAACGGUAUGUACCAUGAAAUAACUCACUUCCUGAGGGAAAAACUUGCUAGCAUCAGUGUAUAGGAACCGGAUUCUGGGUUCCUGCUGGGAAAGGGGAUUGGGGUUUUCGCGAAAGUGAUUUUGCCAGUGUAGAACUCUGGCCCGAGAAACUGUAGGGAGGUUUGUCAACCCAGAAGAAAGAUUAGGGGAUCAUGUAUGAAGCAGCGUGGGGUGGGAGAAUAGCCCAUCCUUCAGCUUCAGCUAAAGUAGGAGGAGUGGGUGAGCCACUCUGUCUAAUGACUUAUCCUGGUGUUUUUCUUUCUAAAGACUUGAUGCUGGAGAGUAUAAGUGAUAGAAGUUACGAGGAGACUCAUCCAGGUUUGGCUAUCCGUCCCAAGCGCUGGACCACAAAAAUAUGGAGAUGGACCAAAAUUUGGCGUGCAGGAAAUAAAGGAAUGUGCAUGUGA
Molecule: long non-coding RNA, 678 nt
Organism: Piliocolobus tephrosceles (Ugandan red Colobus)
Lineage: Eukaryota; Metazoa; Chordata; Mammalia; Primates; Cercopithecidae
Source: Ensembl